UGCUGAUCAGGGGGAUUAAAGCCCCAUGAGUAAAUUUACAGUUUACCACCUAAUUCGGCCACCUGACC
RNAcentral lists this transfer RNA (68 nucleotides) under Calumma parsonii. RNAcentral describes it as "tRNA-Tyr". The record is from RNAcentral. Lineage: Eukaryota; Metazoa; Chordata; Lepidosauria; Squamata; Chamaeleonidae.